AUAGAUUUGACUAUCAAUUCAAUAGAUUUUUCUUGGUCAUAUUCAGAGGGAGGUCACAAAAGCCCCUGUGGCUAUAAUUGGAGUAGGUUUUCCUUUUGCUAAACUUUUCUGAGCAAAGCGCUGUUUAGGAGUUGUGGCACCGAACAUCUUUGUAAGUCGGAUGCAUACUAAUUGUUUCCUUACUAGCUAUCACUAAGCAUUUCUUAGGCUUCUGCGUCACUUUUUGGCAUGUUCUUUUCUGAUUUGAAAGUUGCAUAAAUCAAUCCACCUGCAUUUCAAUCUGUACAGGCAAUAAUUCUGUUAUUUACAGCAAUAUAGUUUACCUGGCAAAUAUAAAUUAACAAAAUUCCUUUCUUCUCAGCCAUACCUUCACGAGUCUCGACACCGCCACGCCAUGAAGCGAGCUCGUGGGUCAGGAGGACGGUUCCUCAACACAAAGCAGCUCCAGGAGCAGAACCAGCAGCAUCAGGCAUCAGGUGGUUCGAGCUGCUCAAAGGUCAUUGGCAACACCAUAAGCUCCCAGAGUGAUCCCAACCCUACCACACCUUCAGCACCUGCUUCUUCCGACACCGCAAGUGCUUCAAGGACCAACCAGGACCGCACCUGCUUUCCGUCAGUUGGCUUCCGCCCCGCCAUGAACUUCAGCGAACAAGGUGGAGGCAGCGCAAAGUUGGUUAGGUGAAGAGAAGUGGAGAGGGCACAGCAGCAUCGCCAGGCAUACUGCCUGUGGCAACUCAUCCUUGGCUUUUGAAACCAUGAAUAUGUAAUGGACAUGUAGCUUAAGAGUCACAGAAUAACUAAACGCCCAUAUAUAUGCAAGUUCUUUUAAGCUUGCUGAGGCAAAAAGAACUGUGGUUAUGAGUUUGUUUCUAGACUGAAUUUCUAGACUGAAAUCCAUACAUAGUACUGGAUUCUGGGGUGGGAACCUCGAAACUUAUUCAGCAGAUGUUGCCUUUUGUGUCUGCUAGGAAAUUUGCCAGGUCUGAUUUCUAGUACCUGCUCACCGCUCUGGUUGUUAUCAGUUUUAUCAUUAUUUUUCAUAAUGAAGGUAAAUCUCCGGCAUACUGUGCACCAUCGAGUGGACUCAGCACCGGUGCAAAAUAUUAGAACUGAGCUGACUAGCUGAGACAAUAUAAUCAGACACGAUAAAACCCAAGAAUUAAUCACUUGCAUAUGCAGUUACUUAGCAAAAGAGAAUUCUGAGACCAAAGUAUAGAAUGUGUUCUUGAGCUCAAAUUAAUAGAAAAAUCUGAGCAGAACUCAGGUUUUACAAGUAGUUCUUAGUUCUUAGCCAACAGCAUCAAUUUACAGGCCCACUGGUAAACAAUUUACAACUUGGGCAAAGAAAGUAUUAGGGGAAAUGGAAAAUCAGUCCCUAGUUUUUAAAUGGAAGCGCUCAGCCUCAGCACCAUCUCGAGCCUCUCAGCCUUGCGGUAGUCAUUAUCAGUAAGAUGUCCAGCGGGGAAAGGCGUAAUCUCCAGAACCAGGUGAGGAGUGGGAAGCUCAUCGAACAAAGCUCUCACAUUGUAGCAGCACACACUCUCACCAUGAGCACUUUCCCUCCUUAUUUGGCAACCCUGGUUGGUAAUUUAAACAUUUAGAUUAUCAACUUAGGAACAACCAAAUAGGCACAAAAGAAACAUGUUUAACACCUCCAUUUUUACAGGUGUGUUUGUAUUCCAAAAUGAUGUAUAAUAAAAGGGCAGAUGACAGCAUGUGCUCUGUCCAGAGAAAAGAAUUUACCUUGUGAGUUGAAGCAUCCACAAAAUGGUCAUCUUCGGACAGAACUGAAGCUAUCUCUUUCAGGAUCCGCCUUCCUUCUUCAGUUGAUCGAACUCGGUAGGUUCUCUUCAGCGUGCCUUUAGUCGUUGGCCUCCAUUUGCUAGUUAGCUUCCUCUUAUCCUGAGCAUCUUUCUCACCUGAUCAACCAAAACAAGAUCUAGAUUAAUCACCUUCUCUAUUACAUAACAAGGUAAUGAGGUAUAUAUGCUUAGAAAUUUCCACAGAUAGCUUGUAAAGACAUAAACAGUACAAAUCUGCAGUUCUGGAACUCUAAAAAGGAUCUACAAUUAUGGAUAAACAGUCGCAAGUGAUUAUCAAGAUCAUGAUGGUUUCCACUGAACUGCUUCUGUCAUAUUGCUGAGGAUAUGUUCCUGUUUUUCCUCCUUGACGUUGAAUCUAAAUGUAAUGAAAUCUAAAGAAAAAUACAAAUGCUGAUUAAGGUUACUAACCAUCAUUAUGUAAAAGAGAAAGCAUUCUGGUCCCAUUACAAUGAGAUUUGACAUGGAAAACAAAUUCUUGAAUUUCGAAACAAAACCUAAAGGUCAAAAAUAGGGACAAGAACACACUUCAAUACCAGUAUACUUCUAAAAAAGGCCAGCACUGGCAUUUACAUAUGCUACAAAUGGUUGGCCAAUCUAUCCAUUCUUGCAAGCAGAUGCAAACUUUGUAGUGAUCCUCUUGUAAG
This 2467-nucleotide long non-coding RNA is filed under the name Setaria italica (foxtail millet). RNAcentral describes it as "long non-coding RNA (SITA_LNC001649)". Lineage: Eukaryota; Viridiplantae; Streptophyta; Magnoliopsida; Poales; Poaceae. The record is from RNAcentral.